GGGGCUGUAGCUCAGCUGGGAGAGCGUCGCGUUCGCAAUGCGAAGGCCAGGGGUUCGAUCCCCCUCAGCUCCA
RNAcentral lists this transfer RNA (73 nucleotides) under Deltaproteobacteria bacterium RIFOXYA12_FULL_61_11. Its description in RNAcentral is "tRNA-Ala". It matches the Rfam family "tRNA". Rfam says of the family: Transfer RNA (tRNA) molecules are approximately 80 nucleotides in length. The record is from RNAcentral. Lineage: Bacteria; Deltaproteobacteria.